This is a long non-coding RNA of Pipistrellus kuhlii (Kuhl's pipistrelle), 337 nucleotides long. RefSeq lists it as uncharacterized. The transcript is spliced from 2 exons. The record is from RefSeq and is a predicted model, not a curated record. NCBI's taxonomy places the organism in Eukaryota, Metazoa, Chordata, Mammalia, Chiroptera, Vespertilionidae.
UCAGAAAACUUGUUUUAUUACUAUCAGUUUCCAAACAAGUCAAUCUAACCAAGUCUAAUGUCUGCAACAAAACUCAUUGGAUUGAAACACCCAGUUUAGGAUCAUACUAUGAAAAAAGAAAAGGGGAAUUGACAUGUAACAGCCAGUACUAGAUGGGUUUCCUGUCUAAAUUCAAGCUGGAAUUUCAAAGCUAGCUAAGCAUUUUGGGGAAAAUUGCCACAUAAGAUGGUAGGAAAAACAAAUGUCUCUUUUCAUCAAUGCAUAGAAAAUAUAAUUGGUGACUUAAGAAAGAAAAUUCUUGAUGGUUUCUUAUAUUCCUAACUUGUAUUACAUUCUU